This 483-nucleotide ribosomal RNA is filed under the name uncultured bacterium. Its description in RNAcentral is "partial 16S ribosomal RNA". It matches the Rfam family "Bacterial small subunit ribosomal RNA", at positions 30 to 506 of the family's 1533-position model. The record is from RNAcentral.
AUUGAACGCUGGCGGCAUGCCUUACACAUGCAAGUCGAACGGCAGCGCGGGAGCAAUCCUGGCGGCGAGUGGCGAACGGGUGAGUAAUACAUCGGAACGUGCCCAAUCGAGGGGGAUAACGCAGCGAAAGCUGUGCUAAUACCGCAUACGAUCUACGGAUGAAAGCAGGGGAUCGCAAGACCUUGCGCGAAUGGAGCUCCCGUUGGCAGAUUAGGUAGUUGGUGGGGUAAAGGCUAACCAAGCCUUCGAACUGUAGCUGGUCUGAGAGGACGACCAGCCACACUGGAACUGAGAAACGGCCCGGCCUCCUACGGGAGGCAGCGGUGGGAAAUUUUGGACAAGGGGCGAAAGCCUGAUCCAGCCAUGCCGCGUGCAGGAUGAAGGCCUUCGGGUUGUAAACUGCUUUUGUACGGAACGAAACGGUCUUUUCUAAUAAAGAAGGCUAAUGACGGUACCGUAAGAAUAAGCACCGGCUACCUACGU